Molecule: long non-coding RNA, 651 nt
Filed under: Linum usitatissimum (flax)
Lineage: Eukaryota; Viridiplantae; Streptophyta; Magnoliopsida; Malpighiales; Linaceae
Description: long non-coding RNA (LUSI_LNC006010)
Source: RNAcentral
AUUGGCUUUCUUGCAUCAAAGGAAGGAGUUGUAGAGUAAAGAACUCGCCUGAGAAGCAAAGAUUGGACGAGUCUUCGUUCAUCGCGAGGGCUAAUGUCAUCGAGAACUUGACGCAGUUUUGGGCUGAUAAGUAUCAGCCAAGCUCGCUGAAAGGGUUCACUUACCAUAAACAAGAGGCUCAACUUCUCAGACAACUUGUAAGAGAAUGAUUUCAAAAUUCUUUUUCUUACCAAUCUGGAUUCAGACUUGAUAUCCCUUUGGUGUUCUCUUUUUCAUCAGGUGUCUCGUGAGAAUAUACCUCAUAUCUUGUUUAAAGGACCGUCAAUCUCUGGGAAGACAGCAUUGUUGAUGGCACUUCUUGGAGACAUAUUUGGUGAUGCUUGUCUCAACGUAUGUCUUUUUUUUCCUGCACUUCGAAUAGUUGAUGAUUAAUAUAAAAGACAAUCUGAACCCUCUCCCAACUACUCGAAUGCAACAGUUCAUAACAAAAUCAUUCAAUUUACUUUACUUUUUCAAUGUUUGAUCUGAUGGGAUGGAAAAAUAUUGCUUCUUUUCUUUUGCAGAUGUCACACGACUUGAGAUUCUUCCAGGCCCAGGUUUUAGAAUCAUCUCUCUCAGAUGCUAAUCUUUCUUUUCCACUGCACAGUUCUG